Molecule: ribosomal RNA, 402 nt
Filed under: uncultured bacterium
Lineage: Bacteria
Description: bacterial SSU rRNA
Rfam family: Bacterial small subunit ribosomal RNA
Source: RNAcentral
AAUAUUGCACAAUGGGCGAAAGCCUGAUGCAGCGACGCCGCGUGAGGGAUGACGGCCUUCGGGUUGUAAACCUCUUUCAGCAGGGAAGAAGCGAAAGUGACGGUACCUGCAGAAGAAGCCUCGGCUAACUCCGUGCCAGCAGCCGCGGUCAUACGGAGGAGGCAAGCGUUAUCCGGAAUUACUGGGCGUAAAGAGUUGCGUAGGUGGCAUUGUAAGUCGGUAGUGAAAGCGUCCCGCUCAACGGGAUAUCCAUUAUCGAAACUGCAGAGCUAGAGGACGAGAGAGGUCACUGGAAUUCCCUGUGUAGGAGUGAAAUCCGUAGAUAUAGGGAGGAACACCGAUGGCGUAGGCAGGUGACUGGCUCGUUCCUGACACUAAGGCGCGAAAGCGUGGGGAGCAAAC